AGAAUCAACGCUGGCGGCGUGCCUAACACAUGCAAGUCGAACGCGAAAGGGGAGCAAUCCCUGAUUAGAGUGGCAAACGGGUGAGUAACACGUGGGUGACCUGCCUUCGAGUGGGGGAUAACCUUCCGAAAGGAGGGCUAAUACCGCAUGACAUACCGUGUUUGGAUACACGGAUAUCAAAGCCGGGGAUCGCAAGACCUGGCGCUUGGAGAGGGGCCCGCGUCCGAUUAGCUAGUUGGUGGGUAACGGCUCACCAAGGCUCCGAUC
This 267-nucleotide ribosomal RNA is filed under the name uncultured soil bacterium. RNAcentral's name for it is "partial 16S ribosomal RNA". It matches the Rfam family "Bacterial small subunit ribosomal RNA", at positions 26 to 281 of the family's 1533-position model. The record is from RNAcentral.